UACGUAGGGACCGAGCGUUGUCCGGAAUCAUUGGGCGUAAAGAGCGUGUAGGCGGCCUUUUAAGUCCUGCGUGAAAUCCUGCGGCUCAACCGCAGACGGUCGUGGGAAACUGGAAGGCUAGAGUGCGGGAGAGGAGAGUGGAAUUCCCGGUGUAGCGGUGAAAUGCGCAGAUAUCAGGAGGAACACCGGUGGCGAAGGCGGGACUCUGGGCCGAUACUGACGCUGAGGAGCGAAAGCGUGGGGAGCAAACAGG
This 253-nucleotide ribosomal RNA is filed under the name uncultured bacterium. RNAcentral's name for it is "partial 16S ribosomal RNA". It matches the Rfam family "Bacterial small subunit ribosomal RNA", at positions 524 to 776 of the family's 1533-position model. The record is from RNAcentral.